GACGAACGCUGGCGGCGUGCCUAAUACAUGCAAGUAGAACGCUGAAGAGAGGAGCUUGCUCUUCUUGGAUGAGUUGCGAACGGGUGAGUAACGCGUAGGUAACCUGCCUUGUAGCGGGGGAUAACUAUUGGAAACGAUAGCUAAUACCGCAUAACAAUGGAUGACACAUGUCAUUUAUUUGAAAGGGGCAAUUGCUCCACUACAAGAUGGACCUGCGUUGUAUUAGCUAGUAGGUGAGGUAAUGGCUCACCUAGGCGACGAUACAUAGCCGACCUGGGAGGGUGAUCGGCCACACUGGGACUGAGACACGGCCCAGACUCCUACGGGAGGCAGCAGUAGGGAAUCUUCGGCAAUGGGGGCAAACCUGACCGAGCAACGCCGCGUGAGUGAAGAAGGUUUUCGGAUCGUAAAGCUCUGUUGUAAGUCAAGAACGGGUGUGAGAGUGGAAAGUUCACACUGUGACGGUAGCUUACCAGAAAGGGACGGCUAACUACGUG
This 497-nucleotide ribosomal RNA is filed under the name uncultured bacterium. RNAcentral's name for it is "partial 16S ribosomal RNA". It matches the Rfam family "Bacterial small subunit ribosomal RNA", at positions 28 to 507 of the family's 1533-position model. The record is from RNAcentral.